ACAAAAAGCAGUUCCUGAAAGGACAGGGGCUUUUCCCCCAUGGUUCCCUACUGGUUCUUUGUGGCCAUGCUGGCCCCUAUGGCGUUGGCUCUGGAACAGUCCCCAGACACAGUGAUACGACAAGGCCAGUCCACGAAUCUGAGCUGUUCCAAGAAGAAAUCCUCCAGCACAGCUAUGUACUGGUACAAACUGCCUUUGGGGAAGGACUCCGGGCUGAGGCUAGUGUCUUCUGCAAUAGAAGGUGUUGAAGUAACCAUUGAGGAGGAUCUCCGAAACCAUAUUAAGAGCAGUGAGAUACAAGGCGACGGGAUGACCCUCUUCAUAGAGCAUGCCUUUCUCAAUGACUCUGGCAUGUACUAUUGUGCUGAGAGUGAAACACAGUGGCUAGGCUGCUGA
Tyto alba (common barn owl) is the source of this 396-nucleotide non-coding RNA. NCBI's taxonomy places the organism in Eukaryota, Metazoa, Chordata, Aves, Strigiformes, Tytonidae. The record is from the annotation of a RefSeq genome assembly.